This 1986-nucleotide long non-coding RNA is filed under the name Nicotiana benthamiana. RNAcentral describes it as "long non-coding RNA (NBEN_LNC012741)". The record is from RNAcentral. Lineage: Eukaryota; Viridiplantae; Streptophyta; Magnoliopsida; Solanales; Solanaceae.
UAGAGACUCUCAGCCGCAUCUCCUCUCCAAAAACCAUCGCCGCCCGCCUCCAAAGUCGCCGGAACUCGCCCAACCCGGUGAGUUCACCCACUGGUCUCCUCAUGGCCCCCCUUCUCUCUUCUACUUCUUCCACAUAGCAAAACUCCAACAAAUCUCUUCAUUACCACACAUUUUUUUCUUUUAUCUUUCUUCGUCUAAACAAAAUUCCGGACCCUUGAAUAAAUCUGGGAAGAAUGGAAAUCGUUGGAUGGAAUUUUUGUCCAAAAAUCUCUAUUUUUUCGAUUUUUAUUUGUAAAAGGGGAUUUUCGGAUUUGAUCUUGUGGUGCCAUAUGAUUUCUUGCUGAAGAAGGAGAAGCUUCGAGAGAAGGCUAUAUAUUUGGAGGAUUUCGGACAGAGAGGGGAGAAGAAGAAAGGUUUGGGAGACGCUAGUGUUUUUCUGAGUUUUUUCCUUCCAAUUUUCAGUCAUUUGGGUAAAAUUUUAGAGUUCUCUUUGAGUCUUUCUUUCAUCUUCGAAACAGAAAAUACAAGAAAAGUAUAUUAGCUUCUGAUUUGUUUAACAAGCAUGGAGUUUAGCUGAUGUCUGUUGACUGCUCGUGAGGUUCUUGAUCGUGGUUCCAAAUCCAUUUUUGUUGUUUUUUUGUCCUUCUACUGGUUCGCGAUAUUGCUGUUAUUUUGCUUGAAUUUGGAGUAAAAGCUUUGUAUACGCCAAAUCUUCUGUUCUAUCGAAAGCUUAAGCUUCAACAGGUUCAAUGUGAUUUUAGUUAGGUUGGGUCUUCCUCCGUUACUUGUGUUCUAUUUUAUUUUCAUGCUUCAAUGUCUAUGUAUUCCAGUCUGUUCUGUUUGGACAUGUUGGAUGGCUAUAUGAUUUACUUCCAUUAUCAGUGAAUUAGUAUCGAAUUGCGUCGAGUUUCACAUGAAUAUGCAGUAUCUCCCAUUAGUUUUCUUUCUUGAAUCCCAACUGAUUCUUCGAUUGUACAUGUACUAAUUCACUUGUCGAUGAAGACCUAUACUUGUGUUCUGUUUUAUUUUCAUGCUUCAAUGUCUAUGUAUUCCAGUCUGUUCUGUUUGGACAUGUUGGAUGGCUAUAUGAUUUACUUCCAUUAUCAGUGAAUUAGUAUCGAAUUGCGUCGAGUUUCACAUGAAUAUGCAGUAUCUCCCAUUAGUUUUCUUUCUUGAAUCCCAACUGAUUCUUCGAUUGUACAUGUACUAAUUCACUUGUCGAUGAAGACCUAUACUUGUGUUCUGUUUUAUUUUCAUGCUUCAAUGUCUAUGUAUUCCAGUCUGUUCUGUUUGGACAUGUUGGAUGGCUAUAUGAUUUACUUUCAUUAUCAGUGAAUUAGUAUCGAAUUGCUUCGAGUUUCACAUGAAUAUGCAGUAUGUCCCAUUAGUUUUCUUUCUUGAAUCCCAACUGAUUCUUCGUUUGUACAUGUACUAAUUCACUUGUCGAUGAAGACCUAUAACCCCCCCCCCNNNNNNNNNNNNNNNNNNNNNNNNNNNNNNNNNNNNNNNNNNNNNNNNNNNNNNNNNCUCCAGGUUUGAAUCGGUGUUGGCAGUACGUGCAUUGUUGCUCUGGUUUAUUGUGUAAAUCUGCUUAGCUUUACUGUUUAGUGUCGAGUUUUCAACUCCAUUGGAAGUUAACCUCCAUGUUUCAAGAGCCAUGUGCUCGACAACUCCUUCGAGGGCUCCUGUUUGUGUGGCUGAUCUGAGUGAAAUGAUCUCAUAGAUCUCGGCAUUGCUGUUUGAUCACCAUUAAUCCAUUUUGCUUAAUCCAUGCUUCAAUUACCAGUUUAGUCGAAUUCCCUUAGCGUCGAGGUGAUAAUGUUGUUUGGAUGUUAUUUCACCAUUUAGUCGGGUUAAUCUCCUGUUUAGUUGUCACUGUGAGAUCUAAGAUAAGUUUCUUCAAUCCCCUCCAAUGCCUUGAACCAUCAGUCGAGUUUGUUCAUUACGGAAUCAUGGAGUUUUGCUUAAUUGAGUCAUGGCUAGUUU